This 28-nucleotide small RNA is filed under the name Bombyx mori (domestic silkworm). Its description in RNAcentral is "ovarian small RNA-19255". The record is from RNAcentral. Lineage: Eukaryota; Metazoa; Arthropoda; Insecta; Lepidoptera; Bombycidae.
UAAGCCAGACAUUCCUGAGAUAACAAUC